This is a long non-coding RNA of Leopardus geoffroyi (Geoffroy's cat), 939 nucleotides long. RefSeq lists it as uncharacterized. The record is from RefSeq and is a predicted model, not a curated record. NCBI's taxonomy places the organism in Eukaryota, Metazoa, Chordata, Mammalia, Carnivora, Felidae. The transcript is spliced from 2 exons.
GGCCACAGCCACGAGAUGGCAGAUCGAAAUAAGCAAGGGGGCCUUUCCCCAGGGAUGACGGAGUUGAUGGUAACCGCGGCUCCCUUCUGCAUUUGAGAGUCCAGGGCUGGAGAGACUGGAGCGACACCACCCAUUGGUCUGCUGGAGGCCACACACAGCAGCUGGUUCCUCAGGUCUCUCAGUGUGCGAAGAGCGUACACGAACGGAUGUACAAGUAACUCCUGAUGUGAAUAACUGCAAAUAACAUCCCAGCUGAGCCCCUGUGCAGAGUCUCUCAUCACCCGGGAGAAGUGCCCCACAUGAAGUAUCAUCCUGCUGCUGCUAAAGUUCCAUGGAGAAGCUUCUCCUCCGACCACAGGGCAAGUGACUGCAAGGAAUCAGCCCUGAGGCCAGGGUGAAGGGAUGCCUGGAGCUCCCCAGAGGGCUUGGCAGGCUUCAUAGAAGCUUCCACGGGUACUUUCGGAAGAGUGAGCAGGGAGCCGAGACCCCAGAGCUUGGAAGCGUGGCCCUUCCCUUUGGUUUACGCACGGUGGGGGGCGUCCACUGUUCCUGGAGUGGCCAGGACCCCCUCUUCUGGGGACUCUAGCCCCGUGGCCUGGUGGGGCUGGCAUGCCCAGGCCACACCUGCUUCUGCGGCCACUGACCCAGGCUAAGUUCCUGCUCACCUCAGAUGACACAGGCAUCGGGGCGGGGCCGUUCAGUUACCAAGCCCUCCGUGACAUUCUUCACCCCCUCCGCACCCCUUCUCUGGAAGUGGAGCUAGGCUCCGGAAGGCAGGUGCCCAGCGUCACGGAGAAGGGCUGAGAGAGGGUGGAGAGGACCAGCCCCUGGGAGCACCCCAGCUGAGUUCCUGCCCAUGGUCCCCCACCCAGGGGCACUGCUGUUCUUCUGGUGUUUUGGUGAUUCGGUUCUGUGAAGUAAAACGUGCCUCCCCCUGCC